Molecule: ribosomal RNA, 495 nt
Filed under: uncultured bacterium
Lineage: Bacteria
Description: partial 16S ribosomal RNA
Rfam family: Bacterial small subunit ribosomal RNA
Source: RNAcentral
GACGAACGCUGGCGGCGUGCCUAAUACAUGCAAGUAGAACGCUGAAGGAGGAGCUUGCUUCUCUGGAUGAGUUGCGAACGGGUGAGUAACGCGUAGGUAACCUGCCUGGUAGCGGGGGAUAACUAUUGGAAACGAUAGCUAAUACCGCAUAAUAGCAGUUGUUGCAUGACAACUGUUUGAAAGGUGCAAUUGCACCACUACCAGAUGGACCUGCGUUGUAUUAGCUAGUUGGUGGGGUAACGGCUCACCAAGGCGACGAUACAUAGCCGACCUGAGAGGGUGAUCGGCCACACUGGGACUGAGACACGGCCCAGACUCCUACGGGAGGCAGCAGUAGGGAAUCUUCGGCAAUAGACGGAAGGCUGACCGAGCAACGCCGCGUGAGUGAAGAAGGUUUUCGGAUCGUAAAGCUCUGUUGUAAGAGAAGAACGAGUGUGAGAGUGGAAAGUUCACACUGUGACGGUAUCUUACCAGAAAGGGACGGCUAACUACGUG